This 495-nucleotide ribosomal RNA is filed under the name Toxicodryas pulverulenta (Fischer's cat snake). RNAcentral describes it as "partial 16S ribosomal RNA". It matches the Rfam family "Bacterial large subunit ribosomal RNA", at positions 1853 to 2610 of the family's 2925-position model. The record is from RNAcentral. Lineage: Eukaryota; Metazoa; Chordata; Lepidosauria; Squamata; Colubridae.
GCACGCCUGCCCAGUGAAUAAUUAAACGGCCGCGGUAUCCUAACCGUGCAAAGGUAGCAUAAUCAUUUGUCUACUAAUUAUAGACUCGUAUGAAAGGCAAAAUGAGAAUCUGACUGUCUCCUAUAAUAGAUCAAUUAAACUGAUCUUCUAGUAAAAAAGCUAGAAUACCAACAUAAGACCAGAAGACCCUGUGAAGCUUGAACCAAACUAUUAAACUCAAUAAUAGCUAGUUUUGGUUGGGGCGACCUUGGAAAAAAAAAGAACUUCCAAACUACAUAACUUCUACCUUAAACUUAAUAGGCCUACAAGCCAUAAAUGACCCAGCACAGCUGAUAAACGAACUAAGUUACUCCAGGGAUAACAGCGCAAUCCUCUUCAAGAGCCCAUAUCAAAAAGAGGGUUUACGACCUCGAUGUUGGAUCAGGACAUCCUAAUGGUGUAGCCGCUAUUAAGGGUUCGUUUGUUCAACGAUCAAUAGUCCUACGUGAUCUGAGU